UACGGAGGGUGCAAGCGUUAAUCGGAAUUACUGGGCGUAAAGCGCACGCAGGCGGUCUGUCAAGUCGGGUGUGAAAUCCCCGGGCUCAACCUGGGAACUGCAUCUGAAACUGGCGGGCUAGAGUCUUGGAGAGGGGGGUAGAAUUCCGGGUGUAGCGGUGAAAUGCGUAGAGAUCCGGAGGAAUACCAGUGGCGAAGGCGGCCCCCUGGACAAAGACUGACGCUCAGGUGCGAAAGCGUGGGGAGCAAACGGG
RNAcentral lists this unclassified non-coding RNA (253 nucleotides) under uncultured Enterobacteriaceae bacterium. Its description in RNAcentral is "contains 16S-23S intergenic spacer region". It matches the Rfam family "Bacterial small subunit ribosomal RNA", at positions 524 to 776 of the family's 1533-position model. The record is from RNAcentral. Lineage: Bacteria; Pseudomonadati; Pseudomonadota; Gammaproteobacteria; Enterobacterales; Enterobacteriaceae.